UAUGAAUCAUGAUAUGACUUUCUUCGGUAAAUCCCAUGAACUCAGCUAUAGUCUGAAAUCCACAAUGUUCAUCGCCUAUAACAUCCGCUACUUUUUCAAUAAAUGGAACCAUGAACUUUUACAAUAUGAAAGUGCAAAAUAUAUUUUAUCCAUAUCUAUAAUUUUAAUCAAAAUCAAAAUAAUUUUAAUCAAAUUUUUAUAAAAAAAACUAUUGUUUGUAGUUUAUACACAUUAGG
This 236-nucleotide long non-coding RNA is filed under the name Medicago truncatula (barrel medic). Its description in RNAcentral is "long non-coding RNA (MTRU_LNC001495)". Lineage: Eukaryota; Viridiplantae; Streptophyta; Magnoliopsida; Fabales; Fabaceae. The record is from RNAcentral.